ACCAAAUGAGCCCACCGCCACGCCUGGCCGCGGGUGGUUGGAUGAUGGCGGCGGUCACAUAGCGCGUGCCGAGCAACGGCAGUGAGUAUAGGAAGCAACAUUUGUACAUGCUCCGUUCCAGAAUAUGCAGAGAAGAUGGUCACCGCAAUUGAUGAAGAACGAGUUGAUGGAAAUUAGAUUGGUGGAGCGGCCACAUGUAUUGCGAGAAAUGUUCCUCAUGUGAGUCCCAGAUCAGACCGCGUAAAACGAAGCGUGCAGUUUUUUGGAGCCUA
This is a long non-coding RNA of Lolium rigidum, 272 nucleotides long. RefSeq lists it as uncharacterized. NCBI's taxonomy places the organism in Eukaryota, Viridiplantae, Streptophyta, Magnoliopsida, Poales, Poaceae. The record is from RefSeq and is a predicted model, not a curated record. The transcript has 3 exons.